CAAAACCUAUGUAGUUAUAUAAGUUGCCCACUGGUAAUCUCAGUGUUUAAUAGAACAUUUAUGAAACACGGAAGAAAAUGGCAAAUGUCCAACAAGUUCCAAAAUGGAACAUGGAACUCUAGAUCAGCAUUCUGAAGCACCAAACGAGGCAAUGAUGCCAAGGACAAUGUGUUAGGGCUCUCCAGAGAAACAAAACCAACAGGAGAGAGAGAGACAGAAAUAGAGAGAGAAAGGGAGAGAUUUAUUAUGAAGAACUAGGUCAUGUCAUUACAGGGGCUGGGAAGUUCCACAGUCCACCAUCGGCCAGCUAGAGACCCAGGAUUACCUGUUGUGUAGCUCCAGUCUGAGCUAGAGGCCUGAGAACCGGCAGAAUUGAUGGUGUAAGUCCCAGUCCAAGUACAGGAGAAGACCGAUGUCCUGGCUUGACAGCAGUCAGGCAGAGAGAACAAUGCUCCCUUACCCCACCUUUUGUCCUAUUCAGGCCUCAGUGGCUUCGAGGAGGCCCACCCACUCUGGGGAGGGACAACUGCCUUGCUCAGUCUACAGAUUCACGUGUUAAUCUCAUCCAGAAAGACCCUCACAGACACACCUAGAAUAACGUUUGACCUAACAUCUGGGCACCUAAUGGCUCAGUCAAGUUGACACUUAAAAUUAACCAUCACAGACAAUAAAAGAGCCUUUUUAAACAUCAAGAAGAGGAGAGGGACAGACUCAUGCUUGGUGGCACGGUGACGACCAGUAUGCGAUAGGAAGGGAGACAGAUCUGGGGCAGGCAGAGAGGGCUGAAGCUGGAGUCUCCCCUGGGUUCCCAACUACUGACAGGACCAUGCCUUUUGAUUUCCUGCCUGAUUCCAUCUUUGGAGCACCUGGGGCUUUGGGGCCAUUGUGAGUAGACAUUCAGCUGAGAAGCUGAGACCCUAGAGAAUA
This 927-nucleotide long non-coding RNA is filed under the name Homo sapiens (human). RNAcentral's name for it is "HSALNT0346874". Lineage: Eukaryota; Metazoa; Chordata; Mammalia; Primates; Hominidae. The record is from RNAcentral.